UUUCCAGAGAUGGAUUGGUGGCCUUCCGGGAACUCUGAGACAGGUGCUGCAUGGCUGUCGUCAGCUCGUGUUGUGAAAUGUUGGGUUAAGUCCCGCAACGAGCGCAACCCUUAUCCUUUGUUGCCAGCGAUUCGGUCGGGAACUCAAAGGAGACUGCCAGUGAUAAACUGGAGGAAGGUGGGGAUGACGUCAAGUCAUCAUGGCCCUUACGAGUAGGGCUACACACGUGCUACAAUGGCGCAUACAAAGAGAAGCGACCUCGCGAGAGCAAGCGGACCUCAUAAAGUGCGUCGUAGUCCGGAUUGGAGUCUGCAACUCGACUCCAUGAAGUCGGAAUCGCUAGUAAUCGUAGAUCAGAAUGCUACGGUGAAUACGUUCCCGGGCCUUGUACACACCGCCCGUCACACCAUGGGAGUGGGUUGCAAAAGAAGUAGGUAGCUUAACCUUCGGGAGGGCGCUUACCACUUUGUGAUUCAUGACUGGGGUGAAGUCGUAACAAGGUAGGCGUAGUGCU
This 514-nucleotide ribosomal RNA is filed under the name uncultured bacterium. Its description in RNAcentral is "bacterial SSU rRNA". It matches the Rfam family "Bacterial small subunit ribosomal RNA", at positions 997 to 1509 of the family's 1533-position model. The record is from RNAcentral.